AAGCAUGAUAGAGGCGCGGCCAACAUCAGUAGCUUUCCGUUAUAUAUGGUGCGCUAGGGAGCACGGGGAAGCGAAAGGGGAGGCCGCCGAGGAGGCGCCGGGGCGACCUAGGCUGCGGGCUUCCGGGCCAGUGGACAACAUCUGCUGGACUGUCGCUGUGAAGCGGAGAGCUGUCAUGACA
RNAcentral lists this non-coding RNA (181 nucleotides) under Corynebacterium vitaeruminis. RNAcentral describes it as "Lysine sequence". It matches the Rfam family "Lysine riboswitch aptamer". Rfam says of the family: Riboswitches are metabolite binding domains within certain messenger RNAs that serve as precision sensors for their corresponding targets. Allosteric rearrangement of mRNA structure is mediated by ligand binding, and this results in modulation of gene expression. Lineage: Bacteria; Bacillati; Actinomycetota; Actinomycetes; Mycobacteriales; Corynebacteriaceae. The record is from RNAcentral. RNAcentral also lists the same sequence under 1 other name.